RNAcentral lists this ribosomal RNA (189 nucleotides) under Ochrobactrum sp. KK08. Its description in RNAcentral is "partial 16S ribosomal RNA". It matches the Rfam family "Bacterial small subunit ribosomal RNA", at positions 90 to 295 of the family's 1533-position model. Lineage: Bacteria; Pseudomonadati; Pseudomonadota; Alphaproteobacteria; Hyphomicrobiales; Brucellaceae. The record is from RNAcentral.
GGGGAGCGGCAGACAGGGUGAGUAACGCGUGGGAACGUACCUUUUGCUACGGAAUAACUCAGGGAAACUUGUGCUAAUACCGUAUGUGCCCUUCGGGGGAAAGAUUUAUCGGCAAAGGAUCGGCCCGCGUUGGAUUAGCUAGUUGGUGAGGUAAAGGCUCACCAAGGCGACGAUCCAUAGCUGGUCUGA